Molecule: long non-coding RNA, 274 nt
Filed under: Setaria viridis
Lineage: Eukaryota; Viridiplantae; Streptophyta; Magnoliopsida; Poales; Poaceae
Description: long non-coding RNA (SVIR_LNC005992)
Source: RNAcentral
UAUUUAUAAAUGGAACAAUUGUCUGCUUAGAUAGCUAUUGUCGGAAGAGUAAUGCAUAGAAUUGGCAUUGUUAUAAGCCAAAUAUCAACAAAGCAUUGAUCAUUCUCCUUUUGUGCUUUGGAAUUCGUGCCCAUCAUUCUGCUUUGCCAUUUGAAUGAUGACGCUACGUUUAUUCAUACCAUCCCUGAUCCGUCAUUGCCACUUGUUGCUACCCUAAAACUCUACCAACGCUCUGGAACACCAUCUCAUCGGUAUUUUCUAUCACGCCGCUCCC